RNAcentral lists this long non-coding RNA (1786 nucleotides) under Sus scrofa (pig). Its description in RNAcentral is "lncRNA (ENSSSCG00005012739.1)". The record is from RNAcentral. Lineage: Eukaryota; Metazoa; Chordata; Mammalia; Artiodactyla; Suidae.
AAGAGAGGUCACUAAAACUGUGUGUCAAAGAGGAAGUAUCCAGCUUCCAGGUGAUGCUGCUGAGUUUCCUCGACUCUCUAGAACAGUGAUUCUCAAACUGAGAUGCUUUGGGCCUCCAGCGGACACUUGGCAACAUUGUGGAGACAUCUCUGAUUGUUACAACUGGGGUGGUGCAACGAAGCGGAGGCCAGCAACACCGCUAAGCAUCCUACCAUGCUCGGGACAGCCCCGCAUGACAAAGCAGUGUCUCGCCUAAAGCCUAGGAACUUGGUGUGCCAACUGCAGGAUUCAGGUACAAAGUCUCAGGUAUAUCUAACCAAAGUGUUUACACAUUCAAGUGUUUAAUUUCCAUUAUAACCGGGACCCUGUUGUUCCUGAUAGGCCUUUGAUAUCCUCGAGCUUGUGAAAUUUAUUGGUCCAAAAGGCUGCAAACUUUAACAAUCAUAUUUAGGAAUUACCCAACAACCUAUACCUGUGCUGUAAUCUGACUCCAGUUUGAAUAUAAUUUAGAUAUAAUUUUUCUGUAUAGAAAUGGUUAUGUGGGGUGACUUUUUCCCACCUAAACCAAAGGAAAAACAUGGAAAGUCUGAUUUUGUUGUUGUUGUUGUUAAAAUUAAAUACAGAAUGGAGACUGGACUUGAAAAUUUCCUCACACAACCAUUUAUGCCACAUAAGCAUGUUUAUUUCUUAAACAUUACUAAAAGUUAACUUAGGUUAUUUCUUGCAAAUGCUUCUGAUAAUCAUAAAAGAAAGUCAUUAUCAUCCUAAAUAUGGUAUGAGAUAAUCACUUUGAACCAGCCCCCAACCAUCUGGAAACCUCCAGUGAAAUAACCAGUCAUUGUAAAGGUUGAACAACUCCCUCUUUUUACUUUAUAAACCAUCCUGUAAUGCCAUGCCCUUGAGCUUCAUAUCAGUUUUAAAUUUGAGAGCUCCCAGUUCUCAAACUAUUCUCACAUGCGCAAUAAAAUCUUACUAAAUACCAUCUAUUGGAGUUCCCAUCAUGGCUCAGUGGAAACGAAUCUGACUAGUAUCCAUGAGGAUGCCGGUUCGAUCCCUGCCCCCGCUCAGUGGGUUAAGGAUCUGGUGUUGCUGUGAGCUGUGGUGUAGGUUGCAGACGUGGCUCGGAUCCCACGUUGCCCUGGCUGUGGUGUAGGCUGGCAGCUUUAGCUUUGAUUCCACUCCUGGCCUGGGAACCUCCAUAUGCCAUGGGUGAGGCCCUGAAAAACAAAAAAACUAUCUACUGAUGUAGGCGUUUUAAAUAUUGCUAUUUCUGGGUUUUUUGAGAGUGUUAGGGGCUGAAUUGUGUCCCCCAGAAUUCAUGUUGAAGCCCUAACCCCUAGUGCCUCAGAGUGAGACUAUAUUUGGAGACAGGAUCUUUUUUUUUUUUUUUUUUUUUGGCUUUCUGUCUUUCCUAGGGCUGCAUCCGCAGCAUAUGGAGGUUCCCAGGCUAGCGGUCGAAUCGGAGCUGUAGCCCCUAGCCUACGCCAGAGCCACAGCAACGUGGGAUCUGAGCCGCGUCUACAACCUACACCACAGCUCACGGCAAUGCCAGAUCCUUAACCCACUGAGCAAGGCCAGGGAUCGAACCUGCAACCUCGUAGCUCCUAGUCAGAUUUGUUAACCACUGCGCCACGACGGGAACUCCAGGAGACAGGAUCUUAGUGAGAGAGGCGAGCAAGUUAAAAUGUGGUCCCCAGAAAGAGCCUUGAUCCAGUCUGACUGGUGUGAUAAGAAUAGGAAAGUAGGACAGAGACGCACAUAGAGGGAGGACCACGUGGAGGCACAA